UACAGAGGGGGCAAGCGUUGUUCGGAAUUACUGGGCGUAAAGGGCGCGUAGGCGGCCUGCUAAGUCGAACGUGAAAUCCCCGGGCUCAACCCGGGAACUGCGUCCGAUACUGGCAGGCUUGAAUCCGGGAGAGGGAUGUGGAAUUCCAGGUGUAGCGGUGAAAUGCGUAGAUAUCUGGAGGAACACCGGUGGCGAAGGCGGCAUCCUGGACCGAUAUUGACGCUGAGGAGCGAAAGCCAGGGGAGCAAACGGG
Molecule: ribosomal RNA, 253 nt
Filed under: uncultured bacterium
Lineage: Bacteria
Description: partial 16S ribosomal RNA
Rfam family: Bacterial small subunit ribosomal RNA
Source: RNAcentral